RNAcentral lists this ribosomal RNA (465 nucleotides) under uncultured bacterium. Its description in RNAcentral is "partial 16S ribosomal RNA". It matches the Rfam family "Bacterial small subunit ribosomal RNA", at positions 28 to 507 of the family's 1533-position model. The record is from RNAcentral.
GACGAACGCUGGCGGCGUGCUUAACACAUGCAAGUCGAACGGAAAGGCCCUGCUUGCAGGGUACUCGAGUGGCGAACGGGUGAGUAACACGUGGGUGAUCUGCCCUCCACUUCGGGAUAAGCCUGGGAAACUGGGUCUAAUACCGGAUAGGAGCCCUUUUUAGUGUGAUGGUUGGAAAGUUUUUUCGGUGUAGGGUGAGCUCGCGGCCUAUCAGCUUGUUGGUGGGGUAAUGGCCUACCAAGGCGGCGACGGGUAGCCGGCCUGAGAGGGUGGACGGCCACAUUGGGACUGAGGUACGGCCCAGACUCCUACGGGGGGCAGCAGUGGGGAAUAUUGCACAAUGGGCGCAAGCCUGAUGCAGCGACGCCGCGUGGGGGAGGACGGCCUUCGGGUUGGAAACUCCUUUCGCUAGGGACGAAGCUUUUUGUGACGGUACCUAGAUAAGAAGCACCGGCUAACUACGUG